This 76-nucleotide transfer RNA is filed under the name Bacillus thermozeamaize. RNAcentral describes it as "tRNA-Thr". It matches the Rfam family "tRNA". From Rfam's summary of the family: Transfer RNA (tRNA) molecules are approximately 80 nucleotides in length. The record is from RNAcentral. Lineage: Bacteria; Bacillati; Bacillota; Bacilli; Caryophanales; Bacillaceae.
GCCGGUGUAGCUCAACUGGCAGAGCAACUGACUUGUAAUCAGUAGGUUGGGGGUUCAAGUCCUCUCACCGGCACCA